Eptatretus burgeri (inshore hagfish) is the source of this 74-nucleotide microRNA precursor. Lineage: Eukaryota; Metazoa; Chordata; Myxini; Myxiniformes; Myxinidae. The record is from Ensembl.
GUUGUGCCCGUGUGCAGGCAUCUUUCCAGCCUACACGUGCCUCUCGAUUUGCAGGCUGGUUAGAUGGUUGUCAC